RNAcentral lists this ribosomal RNA (253 nucleotides) under uncultured bacterium. RNAcentral's name for it is "partial 16S ribosomal RNA". It matches the Rfam family "Bacterial small subunit ribosomal RNA", at positions 524 to 776 of the family's 1533-position model. The record is from RNAcentral.
UACGUAGGUGGCGAGCGUUGUCCGGAUUUACUGGGCGUAAAGGGCGUGCAGGCGGUUUGGUAAGUGCAGGGUGAAAGCUCCCGGCUCAACUGGGAGAGGUCCUUGCAUACUGGCGAACUCGAGGGAGGCAGAGGAAAGUGGAAUUCCCGGUGUAGUGGUGAUAUGCGUAGAUAUCGGGAGGAACACCUGUGGCGAAGGCGGCUUUCUGGGCCGCGACUGACGCUGAGACACGAAAGCGUGGGUAGCAAACAGG